This 340-nucleotide ribosomal RNA is filed under the name uncultured archaeon. RNAcentral's name for it is "bacterial SSU rRNA". It matches the Rfam family "Archaeal small subunit ribosomal RNA", at positions 520 to 859 of the family's 1478-position model. The record is from RNAcentral.
CGUAGCCGGUUUAAUAAGUCUUUGGUGAAAGCUUGUAGCUUAACUAUAAGAAUUGCUGGAGAUACUAUUAGACUUGAAGUCGGGAGAGGUUAGAGGUACUACCGGGGUAGGGGUGAAAUCCUAUAAUCCUGGGAGGACCACCUGUGGCGAAGGCGUCUAACUAGAACGAUCUUGACGGUGAGUAACGAAAGCCAGGGGCGCGAACCGGAUUAGAUACCCGGGCAGUCCUGGCCGUAAACGAUGUGGACUUGGUGUUGGAAUGGCUUCGAGUUGUUCCAGUGCCGAAGGGAAGCUGUUAAGUCCACCGCCUGGGAAGUACGGUCGCAAGACUGAAACUUAA